Molecule: ribosomal RNA, 261 nt
Filed under: uncultured bacterium
Lineage: Bacteria
Description: partial 16S ribosomal RNA
Rfam family: Bacterial small subunit ribosomal RNA
Source: RNAcentral
UGGCCGGUACAGAGAGCAGCCACCCCGCGAGGGGGAGCGAAUCUACAAAACCGGUCUCAGUUCGGAUCGCAGUCUGCAACUCGACUACGUGAAGCUGGAAUCGCUAGUAAUCGCGCAUCAGCCAUGGCGCGGUGAAUACGUUCCCGGACCUUGUACACACCGCCCGUCAAGCCAUGGAAGUCUGGGGGACCUGAAGACGGUAACCGCAAGGAGCCGUUAAGGGUAAAACAGGUAACUAGGGCUAAGUCGUAACAAGGUACC